This 1319-nucleotide ribosomal RNA is filed under the name metagenome. RNAcentral describes it as "bacterial LSU rRNA". It matches the Rfam family "Bacterial large subunit ribosomal RNA", at positions 1561 to 2925 of the family's 2925-position model. The record is from RNAcentral.
AGUGGAUGGGGAGCAACCUAGUUGUGCGUGCGUAAAGGUAGUGCCAAGAAAAGCGGUGAUCAUGAUGAAAAUCAAUUCCCGGUACCCGAAACCGACACAGGUGGGCAAGUAGAGAAUACUAAGGGGCGCGAGGUAACUCUCUCCAAGGAACUCGGCAAAAUGACCCCGUAACUUAGGGAGAAGGGGUGCCACCGAGAGGUGGUCGCAGUGAAGAGGCCCAGGCGACUGUUUAGCAAAAACAUAGGUCUCUGCAAACUCGAAAGAGGAGGUAUAGGGGCUGACGCCUGCCCAGUGCCGGAAGGUUAAAGAAGUUGGUCAGUCUUAGGAUGAAGCUAGCGACUGAAGCCCCGGUGAACGGCGGCCGUAACUAUAACGGUCCUAAGGUAGCGAAAUUCCUUGUCGGGUAAGUUCCGACCCGCACGAAAGGCGUAACGAUCUGGGCGCUGUCUCGGAGAGAGGCUCGGCGAAAUAGGAUUGUCUGUGAAGAUACGGACUACCUGCAUUUGGACAGAAAGACCCUAUGAAGCUUUACUAUAGCUUGGAAUUGUGUUCGGGCUUCCUGUGCGCAGGAUAGGUGGGAGGCGUAGAAGGUAUUCAUGUGGGGAUACUGGAGCCAACGGUGAGAUACCACUCUCAGGAGGCUAGAAUUCUAACUUAAUUAAGGACAGUUUCAGGUGGGUAGUUUGACUGGGGCGGUCGCCUCCAAAAAGGUAACGGAGGCGUACAAAGGUUCCCUCAGACUGGUUGGAAAUCAGUCGAAGAGUGCAAAGGCAGAAGGGAGCUUGACUGCGAGAAGUACAGUUCGAGCAGGGUGGAAACACGGUCUUAGUGAUCCGACGGUGCUGUGUGGAAGGGCCGUCGUUCAACGGAUAAAAGUUACUCUAGGAUAACAGGCUGAUCUCCCCCAAGAGUUCACAUCGACGGGGAGGUUUGGCACCUCGAUGUCGGCUCAUCGCAACCUGGGGCGGAAGUACGUCCCAAGGGUUGGGCUGUUCGCCCAUUAAAGCGGUACGUGAGCUGGGUUCAGAACGUCGUGAGACAGUUCGGUCCAUAUCCGAUGUAGGCGUGAGAAUAUUGAGAGGAGCCUUCCUUAGUACGAGAGGACCGGGAAGGACGCACCGCUGGUGUACCUGUUAUGAUGCCAAUUGUAAACGCAGGGUAGCCAAGUGCGGAGAGGAUAACCGCUGAAAGCAUCUAAGUGGGAAGCCCACCUCAAGAUGAGUAUUCUGGUGUAAGGUCACGGGAAGACGACCCGUAAAUAGGCACGAGGUGGAAGUGCAGAGAUGUAUGAAGCCGAAGUGUACUAAUAGACCGUCGGC